Molecule: ribosomal RNA, 440 nt
Filed under: uncultured bacterium
Lineage: Bacteria
Description: partial 16S ribosomal RNA
Rfam family: Bacterial small subunit ribosomal RNA
Source: RNAcentral
CCUACGGGAGGCAGCAGUGGGGAAUAUUGCACAAUGGGGGAAACCCUGAUGCAGCGACGCCGCGUGAGUGAAGAAGUAUUUCGGUACGUAAAGCUCUAUCAGCAGGGAAGAAAAUGACGGUACCUGACUAAGCAGCCCCGGCUAACUACGUGCCAGCAGCCGCGGUAAUACGUAGGGGGCAAGCGUUAUCCGGAUUUACUGGGUGUAAAGGGAGCGUAGACGGCAGCGCAAGUCUGGAGUGAAAUCCCAUGGCUUAACCAUGGAACUGCUUUGGAAACUGUGCAGCUAGAGUGCAGGAGAGGUAAGCGGAAUGCCUAGUGUAGCGGUGAAAUGCGUAGAUAUUAGGAGGAACACCAGUGGCGAAGGCGGCUUACUGGACUGUAACUGACGUUGAGGCUCGAAAGCGUGGGGAGCAAACAGGAUUAGAUACCCCAGUAGUC